AUGGCUCUGCCCAUUCAUCUGAUGACGGUUCUUCCCAUGCCGGCUUGGGCUUUAAAGAUCAUGAAUAGACGUUGUCGUGGGUUUAUUUGGAAGGGGGAAGAGGAGAUCAGUGGAGGGCAUUGUUUGCUACCCUGGUCUAGAGUUUGUUUACCCUUGGAGAUGGGAGGCCUCGGCAUAAUUAACCUCAAGUGGUUCGGCAUGGCCCUUCACUGCAAAUGGCCAUGGUUAAGAUGGGAUACUGAAGAGAGACCUUGGCAGCUGUUGCCCGACGCUAGUGAGAAGGACGUGCGGGACAUGUUCAGCGCGGCGUGUCGCAUCAACCUGGGCGAUGGAGAUCGAGCAAGAUUUUGGACUGACAACUGGCUCCCGGAUGGUCAGUCUAUUGCUAAAUUGGCGCCGGAGCUGUUUUCCUUUGUUAGGAAAAGGGAUAGAUCGGUGA
RNAcentral lists this ribosomal RNA (439 nucleotides) under Triticum aestivum (bread wheat). RNAcentral's name for it is "partial small subunit ribosomal RNA". Lineage: Eukaryota; Viridiplantae; Streptophyta; Magnoliopsida; Poales; Poaceae. The record is from RNAcentral.